GAUGAAGAACGUAGCGAAAUGCGAUAAGUAAUGUGAAUUGCAGAAUUCAGUGAAUCAUCGAAUCUUUGAACGCACCUUGCGCCUUUUGGUAUUCCGAAAGGCACACCUGUUUGAGCGUCAUGAAUACCUCAAUCUCCAUCUUUUCUUCGGAUUGAUGGGUGACUUGGAUGUUGAGCCCUGCUGGUAUGCUAUAUCAGCUGGCUUUAAACUUAUUAGCCGCCUCUGUACUGGAUCGGUUUGACUCGACGUGAUAAUAUUAUCGUUGAGGAUGCAUGUCUCAUGCAGCCGGAAAGUAUCAAAGCAGCUUCUAGCUUGCCUUUAGUGCACUUUUACAUUUUAGACCUCAGAUCAGGCGGGACUACCCGCUGAACUUAAGCAUAUCAAUAAGCGGAGGA
Molecule: unclassified non-coding RNA, 395 nt
Filed under: soil metagenome
Description: partial contains 5.8S ribosomal RNA, internal transcribed spacer 2, and large subunit ribosomal RNA
Rfam family: 5.8S ribosomal RNA (bases 1-120)
Source: RNAcentral